AUCAGACAAAGGCAAACCUGCUGAAAAGCCGGGACGCAAAGUCACAGAUCUAACGUUCUACGGAGCUAUGAUGGCUGGACUGCCUGA
This 87-nucleotide non-coding RNA is filed under the name Metabacillus indicus. RNAcentral's name for it is "Bacillus cibi c-di-GMP sequence". It matches the Rfam family "c-di-GMP-I riboswitch aptamer". From Rfam's summary of the family: GEMM was predicted in a large-scale screen for bacterial structured RNA regulatory elements. Genes associated with GEMM are involved in a diverse array of functions, including chemotaxis regulation, signal transduction, secretion and chitin. Lineage: Bacteria; Bacillati; Bacillota; Bacilli; Caryophanales; Bacillaceae. The record is from Rfam by way of RNAcentral.